RNAcentral lists this ribosomal RNA (402 nucleotides) under uncultured Anaerococcus sp. RNAcentral's name for it is "bacterial SSU rRNA". It matches the Rfam family "Bacterial small subunit ribosomal RNA", at positions 355 to 776 of the family's 1533-position model. The record is from RNAcentral. Lineage: Bacteria; Bacillati; Bacillota; Tissierellia; Tissierellales; Peptoniphilaceae.
UGGGGAAUUUUGCACAAUGGGGGAAACCCUGAUGCAGCGACGCCGCGUGAUUUAGAAGGCCUUCGGGUUGUAAAAAUCUUUUGUAUGGGAAGAAAAUGACAGUACCAUACGAAUAAGGACCGGCUAAUUACGUGCCAGCAGCCGCGGUAAUACGUAAGGUCCGAGCGUUGUCCGGAAUCAUUGGGCGUAAAGGGUACGUAGGCGGGUAAGCAAGUUAGAAGUGAAAUCCUAUAGCUCAACUAUAGUAAGCUUUUAAAACUGCUCAUCUUGAGAUAUGGAAGGGAAAGUGGAAUUCCUAGUGUAGCGGUGAAAUGCGCAGAUAUUAGGAGGAAUACCGGUGGCGAAGGCGACUUUCUGGCCAUAAUCUGACGCUGAGGUACGAAAGCGUGGGUAGCAAACAGG